Molecule: ribosomal RNA, 351 nt
Filed under: Cycloxenus sp. CO924
Lineage: Eukaryota; Metazoa; Arthropoda; Insecta; Coleoptera; Cerylonidae
Description: partial 12S ribosomal RNA
Source: RNAcentral
UAUAAAUGUAAUAAAUUUAACUUAAUUAGUAUUAGUUAAGUUCUUGAAAAUUAAAGAUUUUGGCGGUAUUUUAGUCUUUUCAGAGGAACCUGUCCUAUAAUUGAUAAUCCACGAUUAAUUAAACUUAUUUUAUUAGUUUGUAUAUCGUUGUUUAUAAAUAUUUUAAAAGAAUAAUAAUAUUUGAGAUUUUCAAUUAAAAAUUAAUUCAAAUCAAGGUGCAGUUUAUAAAUAAGAAGAGAUGGGUUACAAUAAAAAAAUUUAUAUGGAAUUUAAAAUGAAAUUUUUAUUUGAAAGUGGAUUUGAAAGUAAUUAAUUAUAUUUAUUUUUAAUGAUUUAAGCUCUAAAAUAUGU